RNAcentral lists this unclassified non-coding RNA (331 nucleotides) under soil metagenome. Its description in RNAcentral is "partial contains 5.8S ribosomal RNA, internal transcribed spacer 2, and large subunit ribosomal RNA". The stretch from base 2 to 119 matches the Rfam family "5.8S ribosomal RNA", at positions 37 to 154 of the family's 154-position model. The record is from RNAcentral.
GUGAAGAACGUAGCAAAAUGCGAUAAGUAAUGUGAAUUGCAGAAUUCAGUGAAUCAUCGAAUCUUUGAACGCACAUUGCGCCCGCCAGUAUUCUGGCGGGCAUGCCUGUUCGAGCGUCAUUUCAACCCUCAAGCACAGCUUGGUGUUGGGACUCGCGUUAAUUCGCGUUCCCCAAAUUGAUUGGCGGUCACGUCGAGCUUCCAUAGCGUAGUAGUAAAACCCUCGUUACUGGUAAUCGUCGCGGCCACGCCGUUAAACCCCAACUUCUGAAUGUUGACCUCGGAUCAGGUAGGAAUACCCGCUGAACUUAAGCAUAUCAAUAAGCGGAGGA